Molecule: ribosomal RNA, 497 nt
Filed under: uncultured bacterium
Lineage: Bacteria
Description: partial 16S ribosomal RNA
Rfam family: Bacterial small subunit ribosomal RNA
Source: RNAcentral
GAUGAACGCUGGCGGCGUGCCUAAUACAUGCAAGUCGAGCGAACGGACGAGAAGCUUGCUUCUCUGAUGUUAGCGGCGGACGGGUGAGUAACACGUGGAUAACCUACCUAUAAGACUGGGAUAACUUCGGGAAACCGAAGCUAAUACCGGAUAAUAUUUUGAACCGCAUGGUUCAAAAGUGAAAGACGGUCUUGCUGUCACUUAUAGAUGGAUCCGCGCUGCAUUAGCUAGUUGGUAAGGUAACGGCUUACCAAGGCAACGAUGCAUAGCCGACCUGAGAGGGUGAUCGGCCACCCUGGAACUGAGACACGGUCCAGACGCCUACGGGAGGCAGCAGUAGGGAAUCUUCCGCAAUGGGCGAAAGCCUGACGGAGCAACGCCGCGUGAGUGAUGAAGGUCUUCGGAUCGUAAAACUCUGUUAUUAGGGAAGAACAUAUGUGUAAGUAACUGUGCACAUCUUGACGGUAACUAAUCAGAAAGCCACGGCUAACUACGUG